Molecule: ribosomal RNA, 198 nt
Filed under: Triticum aestivum (bread wheat)
Lineage: Eukaryota; Viridiplantae; Streptophyta; Magnoliopsida; Poales; Poaceae
Description: partial small subunit ribosomal RNA
Source: RNAcentral
AUGGCCGCGGCAGAGCGGCUCCGAUCGGUGCCGUUUGACGUGGACAUCACGGUGCCCGUGCGGCUGCAGCUCGGCGGCGUGAGGACGUGGGCCGUGCCGGUGACGGUUCGGUGCGCCAUGACGGUGGACAGGCUCGCCGCCAGCGCCAAGGUGGUGUCCAGGCCAUGCGACGUCAAUGUGCCGUUCUGGAGGAACUGA